This 495-nucleotide ribosomal RNA is filed under the name uncultured bacterium. RNAcentral's name for it is "partial 16S ribosomal RNA". It matches the Rfam family "Bacterial small subunit ribosomal RNA", at positions 28 to 507 of the family's 1533-position model. The record is from RNAcentral.
GACGAACGCUGGCGGCGUGCCUAAUACAUGCAAGUAGAACGCUGAAGGAGGAGCUUGCUCUUCUGGAUGAGUUGCGAACGGGUGAGUAACGCGUAGGUAACCUGCCUGGUAGCGGGGGAUAACUAUUGGAAACGAUAGCUAAUACCGCAUAAGAGUAGAUGUUGCAUGACAUUUACUUAAAAGGUGCAAUUGCAUCACUACCAGAUGGACCUGCGUUGUAUUAGCUAGUUGGUGGGGUAACGGCUUACCAAGGCGACGAUACAUAGCCGACCUGAGAGGGUGAGCAGCCACACUGGGACUGAGACACGGCCCAGACUCCUACGGGAGGCAGCAGUAGGGAAUCUUCGGCAAUGGACGGAAGUCUGACCGAGCAACGCCGCGUGAGUGAAGAAGGUUUUCGGAUCGUAAAGCUCUGUUGUAAGAGAAGAACGAGUGUGAGAGUGGAAAGUUCACACUGUGACGGUAUCUUACCAGAAAGGGACGGCUAACUACGUG